Molecule: long non-coding RNA, 2881 nt
Organism: Pecten maximus
Lineage: Eukaryota; Metazoa; Mollusca; Bivalvia; Pectinida; Pectinidae
Exons: 3
Source: RefSeq, a predicted model, not a curated record
AUAUUAUAUAAUGACUGUAGGCUGCGCAGCCGGUCACCGGCUUGUGUGUCGUCUGUCAGGAUGAAGGUAUACCUAGCAGCCGUGGUAGCCCUGGCAUGUAUCAUUUCCAAUAUCGGUGGGUCCCACUUGAGACUCCGUAAUCGGUCACUCGCACUGACAAAGUCUUACCUCAACAGGGGAUGUCCAGUUCUAACAUGUGACAAGUUGAACCGAAGGAUCCCCUCCCGAUGCCGAAUUCCAGACAUAUACCGAUUCCGGGGCCGGUUGUGUCGAGGUUGCUAUGUAAAUCUGUGUGUAGGAUACCUUUACAACACUAAUAAAAAAGGAAGGAUGACUGCGGGAUAAUCGAGUUCAGGAAGCAUUCUGUCAGACAUUAUUAAACAGCUGUUUAUCACGAACCGUGCCCCAGCAUCACAUCGCCCUGCGCAAGUGAUUCGUGUUUUUAAAUCCAGUUUCAUUUGCAAUGCGUUUCAUGUCUUAAAUGCGAAAUAUCUAUAAAAUACCUUUUUUUCAUUUUCAGAGAGAUUGUUUUGACUUGUAUACUAUCAUGAUAUCAAAACGUAACCAUCACCUGACAAGUUAUGUUAUUUUGUAAUGGCAUAUUUAAAUUGAUGGCGAAUUACAAAAAUGUAGCAACAAAUCCAAACUUACAUCUACCAAUGAACGCAUGCGUAUUAUAUAUAUCCGGUGAGGCAUUACUUCCAGUGAUUGAGUGAUUGUGUCUUAGUUUGAAGAAUAAUAAUGAGAGUACCUGGUGUAAUGGGGGUAUCUGGUGUAUUUAUUUCAAUUCUUUUGUAUGAGAUAAAAGUUAUACGUGUACAUGUAGCUUACUGGUUGAAUAACAAGGAAAUAUGCAAAUUUUGACCAUAUUUUAUGUUAAGUUGCCGAUUUAGUGAUUGUUCUAUUGCUGUUGUAUGACCUUGGCUGUUAAUAGGACGUUAAACCAAUAAAACCAAACCAAAGCAAUGCUGCUGCAAAAACGAAAAGUGCCAUAUUUUGUCGCUUAUAAAAGUUCCCUAUUUUGUCGCUAGUAAAAGCGUGGGUUUUUGCGAUACACACCUGUAUGACGACGCUUUGUAGGAUGAAAAUGUGCCUUUUUGUUUCAGUAAAUUUCAUUCUGCCGUAACAACAAUGCAAAGACUGAAAAUGUGCACCUUAGGUAUUAGCGAAGAAGACAGACAUUUCAGAAUACAACAGAUUUUUGGGGACAAAGUGUCAUCGAAAUAUGGUAGAUGAUACUUUGGCGAUGACAAGUGUCAGUGGAAGACAUAAAACAGUGCAUUUCUCAUUUUGUGUCUACAUAACAAAAACGUGGUCUAAUAUGUAUUUCGUGCGUUCCGGUGGUAGUUUCAGCUCAGGUAAAUAUACAUUCCAAAUUACGUUAGCAGACUAAUUCAACACUGUCGGAUGCGUUGAUUAAUACAUAUGUUGCAAUGUCAUAUUUUAUCAGUAUUGGUAAAAGUUGCUAGUUCAUGGCAUGUUCAAUUAGACUGUCGGCUGACAGUGUUGACAUCUGAGUGACUUAGACGCUUGAAUGAGUAAGACUAAAUUAUGUAACGUCAUAGUUGUUCAAUGGUUUGCACGUGACCAAAUUCCGAAGCGUCACAGGUGUUCAAUAUUUCGCACGUGACCUUGUAUUAGUUCAGAAUAUACCUAUUGCGUAUAGUGAAGGAAAAUCAAACGCAUUAUGUUAUAAAUAUAAAUUGAUUGUGCGUAUACUGGUUGACAUAAUCAAGAGAAAAAUAAAAUGUAAUAUAAAGAAAUGACGUAGUGUACUGCCAUUUCAUCUGUCUCAAGUGUAAAUCUUACAAAUGUAGAUGACAACAUGAAUAUUCUAUUACAUGGAGAAACUCUGGUAUCCGGAAGUCUCCAGUAAAAUGAAUGUAUACAAAUGUUUGCAAAUACAGUCUUAGUUAAGUGCCCUAAAUGUUUCGGAUCCAAUGCAUGGGCUGUAUAUCCUCCCUUUCCUAUAUCUGACUAUGAUUGAUAACCUUCAUUAAGUAUACGUGUCCGUGCUGAUAAGAACACAUAGGUAAACGCCUUCAGCUUAUAGUUAUAAUCGUCAAGCCCAUACAUAAUGUUAUACAGCUCUAUCUACUUUCUGCAUGAUUUGUUGAAAAGCUCAUAGGAGGUGUCAGAAUGAGGGAAAAUAUUCUGUUUAAAGAACUAUAUAUUGAAACGGCUAUUACAUUUUAUUUUGCCCUUUUUUAAGACUAAAUUACAGGUUUAUGGUUUGGUCUUGUAUUUCUUGUAAAAUAGUUUCCAAUGAUCUAAAAUAGAUUAUUGUUAUUGAUGUAUUAUUAGCUGUAACUUGAGCAUGUAUAUCACAUCGAUAACACUUUGAUAUCAAUAUGUAUACAGUUUAUGACUGAAUUAGAAAAAAAAAACAGUUUUUAUGGCACGGACAUCCGUGCUGUGAAAAAGUUUUGGUAUUUAUUGUGAAGAUGGAUAUAUAUUGCAUGGGCUGGUGUGCGAAUAAUAUACAAAUAUAUUGUCAAGAUGCAUUUUGAUCUUGUGUAAGGUGAAAAUAUGAGCAAUGGGGACUUUUUGUGUGAAUAUUAUACAAAAGGAAUGUAUAAUAGUAUAUUUAUCUUGUAUCUGAUUUUUAAAUGAACGAUAUCGAGAUGGAUCGUGUGCCUGAAUAAGGCGUAAGACUUCUUAUGAACAUUGCAUGUAAAAUGUUUUUAUCUUGGAACGGUUAUACUGUGUUAAUAAAUACUGUUGGUAGUUGAUAUGUUUUUAUAUAUUCAUAUAAGGAGAUUAUAUUGUAAAUCAAAAAUUCAAAUACCCAUUGUGUUCGGCUUGGUAUUGUAACCUUAAACUGGAAAAUUAUUGUUCCAUUUCAGUUUGAUACAAUAUGCAAAUAAAUCAUUAGAUACUA